Long non-coding RNA from Oncorhynchus tshawytscha (Chinook salmon), 1721 nucleotides. NCBI's taxonomy places the organism in Eukaryota, Metazoa, Chordata, Actinopteri, Salmoniformes, Salmonidae. The record is from Ensembl.
CAGACUUCUAGAGCAGCUCUGACUCAGGACCACAGAUCAACCAGAUGUCAGAGGGACAUCUGCCAGGUGUUUUAGUUCAGACUUCUAGAGCAGCUCUGACUCAGGACCACAGAUCAACCAGAUGUCAGAGGGACACCUUCCAGGUGUUUUAGUUCAGACUUCUAGAGCAGCUCUGACUCAGGACCACAGAUCAACCAGAUGUCAGAGGGACAUCUGCCAGGUGUUUUAGUUCAUACUUCUAGAGCAGCUCUGACUCAGGACCACAGAUCAACCAGAUGUCAGAGGGACAUCUGCCAGGUGUUUUAGUUCAGACUUCUAGAGCAGCUCUGACUCAGGACCACAGAUCAACCAGAUGUCAGAGGGACACCUGCCAGGUGUUUUAGUUCAGACUUCUAGAGCAGCUCUGACUCAGGACCACAGAUCAACCAGAUGUCAGAGGGACAUCUGCCAGGUGUUUUAGUUCAGACUUCUAGAGCAGCUCUGACUCAGGACCACAGAUCAACCAGAUGUCAGAGGGACAUCUGCCAGGUGUUUUAGAGCAGCUCUGGGAAAGAACAUGUGGCGAAUAAGAUGAACCCUGUUUUACAGUUGAAGAAGAAUUUCCAGUCAUGUACAUUCGUAGAUCAGUACUAAGAAAAGAGAUCUGCCGACCGUCUGUGUGAACCCAAUACUUACUCUCUACUCUGGCCAAAGAGGGAUAUGAUAUCCAUUCUUGAAAGCCAGACUUUGACCACUUUGACUUAGCUCUUCUUUAUACAGCCUUUUGUUAACUAAUUACCACACGAUUUCAGCCAAAUACCUAUUUUCUUUCAGUGCUUUAUAAACAGCAAGGAUUGUAAAAAAUAGAAUGCCAAUUUCACGGGGAAAGGAAUUGAUUUGUUUCAUUGUCUCGUCUAUUGUCAUUGUAUGGUGUUGGUGUGCAACAACUUCAAACAAUAAACCUUACAACGCAGGAUACCUCAGAAUAUAAAUCCAUGUAAAGCUUGACAGCCUCCAUGGCGUUGUUAGUUCCUCUACAUUUUGCCCUCUUGAUGCUCCACGUGCUUUUUACUCUGUUAUUUCCACUUUUAUCCCUCACACGGCAUGUAGCACAUAGUGGACGUGUCAUAGCUUAUUUUUUUUCUUGUUCUGGGGACUUUUUAAGACGGGUCUCUCAUUCAGUCCCUCCCCGGAGCCAGAGAUAAAGAGAGGAGGUGGUGAUUGGGAGUGAAAGGAACACUAAUUCACAUUCUAGAAUUCAUUUUGGGAUCUCGUUUGAUCCUGAAGUCACGAGAGAGAAAAUAUCUUCAUCUAUAUCUGCUGAUUUGAACUGGAGCUCGGUUUCCUCGUCUCUUCUCUUUCAUUAUUUUGAAACUAGAGAUGCUCAGAGGCCGAAGGUCAAUCUGUUAAGUCCUAUAAUCCCCAUUUCUUUCCUUUUGGAUACCUCUUUUUGAUUUAUCAUCUACAUUCUCAUCAUUAAAACUGAAUGUAACGACACAAACUAACCUCACGAUUCUAACUUGACAGAUGGAAGAAAAACAUAUACUAUAUAUGUACAUAUGUAUAACACACAACACACAAUGCAUUGUAUAUAUACAGAUCUCCUAAAGACAGAUACAUACUUAUCUUGUGGAAGGGGAAAAACAACCGUUUCCUUUGUUUGAUUCAGGGAACAAUAGUCCAGUGCGGUAUGUUAGAUAUCACUCCCAUGGCUCUCUUUCUGACUGUAUGUUAGAUAUCAC